This 276-nucleotide long non-coding RNA is filed under the name Helianthus annuus (common sunflower). Its description in RNAcentral is "hypothetical non coding rna". The record is from RNAcentral. Lineage: Eukaryota; Viridiplantae; Streptophyta; Magnoliopsida; Asterales; Asteraceae.
CUUUCUCAGACAUCUCAAUGAGUCCAUCCGGUGGCCUCAUGGAAACUAAGCGUUUGAACAGCGCCAUCAAUGUCUUGGAACCAAAAUUGUUGAAGAUAUAAUCCCUAGAUCGAUCUCCAUUCUGGCGAUUUCCAUUUCCAAUUAACACCUGCUAAACUUUAAUUGACGAAUUCGAUCCCCGGUUCAAGAUUUGUGAUAUAUAAAAGUUAGGUGAUAACGGAGGAAAGAUUAAUGAAUGGUAACAGAGGGAAAGAGAUGAAAUGGGUGAUUGUUUAA